Molecule: ribosomal RNA, 534 nt
Filed under: uncultured bacterium
Lineage: Bacteria
Description: bacterial SSU rRNA
Rfam family: Bacterial small subunit ribosomal RNA
Source: RNAcentral
AGUUUGAUCCUGGCUCAGGACGAACGCUGGCGGCAUGCCUAAUACAUGCAAGUCGAGCGGACUUGAGAAGAAGCUUGCUUCUUCGAUGGUUAGCGGCGGACGGGUGAGUAACACGUAGGCAACCUGCCUUUCAGUUUGGGAUAACUUCCGGAAACGGAUGCUAAUACCGAAUACAUCAUCUUCCGGCAUCGGAGGAUGAGGAAAGACGGCGCAAGCUGUCACUGAGAGAUGGGCCUGCGGCGCAUUAGCUAGUUGGUGGGGUAACGGCUCACCAAGGCGACGAUGCGUAGCCGACCUGAGAGGGUGAACGGCCACACUGGGACUGAGACACGGCCCAGACUCCUACGGGAGGCAGCAGUAGGGAAUCUUCCACAAUGGGCGAAAGCCUGAUGGAGCAAUGCCGCGUGAGUGAUGAAGGUUUUCGGAUCGUAAAGCUCUGUUGCCAGGGAAGAACGUCCAGUAGAGUAACUGCUAUUGGAGUGACGGUACCUGAGAAGAAAGCCCCGGCUAACUACGUGCCAGCAGCCGCGGUAA